This 122-nucleotide unclassified non-coding RNA is filed under the name Staphylococcus aureus. It matches the Rfam family "RNA Staph. aureus D", at positions 1 to 127 of the family's 189-position model. The record is from RNAcentral. Lineage: Bacteria; Bacillati; Bacillota; Bacilli; Caryophanales; Staphylococcaceae.
GUCUGCUAUAAUGUUUUUAACUUCUUCAAUAGAGAAGUUAUCUCCUUUGUGUUGUUUAUAAUAACAAAACAAAUUUUGCUCGAAGUACUAUGACUGUACCUAGUCCUUACUGGAGACUUUUA